AGACCGAAAUCCCCCCCUACCGCCGCCCAAGUUGCGGCUCUGCACUUGAUUUCUGGGGAGUGUUGGAAACAUGGCCAUAAAAAAAGAAUGGCGUCCAUUUACAUAAUGCUUUGUUUGCAUUUUGCAAGUUUCUUUUGGUUGAAUCUAGAGAAACCCCACCUCCUAGUGUCUUUUUAGUCGUGGCAGUCUUGCCAGACAUUUAAGACAAUGGUGUGCCUCUUGGGAACCGCAUUUUUUUAGGGGUCCCGAGUAGUGCGGGGGGGUGGUUCUUGAGAUUUUCCCCAUGCCGUUUAAGCUCCCGCUCUGCCUUUCUACCCUUGGUGCAGACGCCGCGCCCCGCUUUCUUCGGGGGCGGCCCCUGUCGGGCCCCGCCAUCUUGGAAGGCCUUUCUUGCAGUUCGCCAUCGCACGUUCCUCUCGCUAAAGAAAAGUCGUUUGGGUGGCUCGUAUGAAUUCAUUUAGGCCCAGAGAGAUGAAGUGACUAAUUCAAGGUCACACAGUGUGGAGGAUGGAAUCCUGACCUUCUGAUUUCCUUAUUGGUAAUCUCAACCUUUCUGACAGCUCCACUUAACCGUCUACAUAUGGAUGAUGCCCAGCUCUGUCUGCAGACCAGUGUCCAGCUGCUCACGUGGCCGGCAUCACAGGGAUAUUGUGCACACUCACCACCGUGUGGCCUCCUGCUCCUCCUUACUUGCCGCCUCACCUGGUGUCCUGUCACAUGGUGAAAAGUGGUCUUGUCACUAUAAUAUGGUAGUUGAGAAUGUGACUCUGAUAGAUAUGAUGUGAUAUGGCAUAUGACUCUGGAGCCCAUCUGCUGGGGCCUGAAUUCUGACUCAUCCACUUACUGUGUGACCUUGGUUGUGUGCUGCCCCAGACCUGUUUAUUAAAGAAGAAACACCAGGAGCCUUUAAUCUUUUCUCCCCUCCCCUAAUCUGAAAGUAAGGUAAUAGGAGAUCUCCAUUUUGGAGAAUGAAUUUCAUGUUUGGACUCAAGUCAUUCAGUUGCUUAGCUGUGGGAUGAAUAUGCUGUGAAAAGCAGUUUGGGACCAGAGUUCACGGCCUGACUCAGCGAUGAAACUGCUGCAUUCCCUAGUGUAGCUUCCCUGCUGGCUCUUCUCUGGAGGCGCCUUCUAAGUGCAUCUUAGUUUGAGGACUGCUCUGAAGGGCCAUUGUUAGUUUGGAAUGACAGGUUUUGUGUUCUUAAGAAACAAAUGAAGUGAUUGUGGUGGAUAUUUCCUUACUCCAGCCUGAGAGUAUUGGUGGGGUGUUGAUGGGGGGCAUUGAAUGGUAAUGAACACAUUGUGUUCUACCUGUGCCCUCAUCAGUUCUUUCUGGAACUCUUUUGUCCCAUCUAAUUUCUUCCCUCUAAUCAAGAUGGAGAAAGAGGAAUUCUUCUAUAACCGAGCUCUCAUAUAUCCCUGUGGCAGCUGUCAUUUGCCAAAGAUGUUGAAGAAGGGUAGCUGACUUUUACAUGGCAUGUGUUAUGUGCCAGCAACUGUUCCAAGCACCUUACAUUUAUCGUCUUUAUGAGAUUGGUUCUGUGUACUGAGUUGCAUAGUGUCCUCCCCAAAAUUCACAUCCACCCAGAACCUAUGAGUGUGAUCUUAUUUGGAAAUAGGAUCCUUGUAGAUGUAAGCAGGUUAAGAUGAAGUCAUACUGGGUUAGGAUGGGCCCUAAUCCAGUGACUGGUGUUCUUAUACGAAGAGGGAUACAUAGAGGGAAGAUGUCCAUGUGAAGAUGGAAGUGGAGAUUGGAGUUGUGCUGCCACAAACCAAAGAAUGUCAAGGAUUACUGGCAACCACCAAAAGCUGGAAAAGGCAAAGGAAGAUUCUCCCCUGGAGCCUUCACAGGGAGCAUGGUCCUGCUGAAACUUUGAUUUUGGACUUCUAGCCUCCAGAACUUUGAGAGAAUAAAUGUCCUUUGUUGGAAGACA
Long non-coding RNA from Neogale vison (American mink), 1931 nucleotides. RefSeq lists it as uncharacterized. The transcript is spliced from 5 exons. NCBI's taxonomy places the organism in Eukaryota, Metazoa, Chordata, Mammalia, Carnivora, Mustelidae. The record is from RefSeq and is a predicted model, not a curated record.